UGCGUAGGCGGACUAAUAAGUCAGUGGUGAAAUCUUUCGGCUCAACCGGGAAACUGCCAUUGAUACUGUUAAUCUUGAGUUCGGUUGAGGUAGGCGGAAUGUGUAAUGUAGCGGUGAAAUGCUUAGAUAUUACACAGAACACCAAUUGCGUAGGCAGCUUACUAGACCGACACUGACGCUGAGGCACGAAAGCGUGGGUAGCGAACAGGAUUAGAUACCCUGGUAGUCC
RNAcentral lists this ribosomal RNA (229 nucleotides) under uncultured bacterium. RNAcentral's name for it is "partial 16S ribosomal RNA". It matches the Rfam family "Bacterial small subunit ribosomal RNA", at positions 568 to 796 of the family's 1533-position model. The record is from RNAcentral.